AAUAACCCCCUAAAAGUCUCACACACAUUAGUUCUAUUAGGACAAACCAUAACCCAUAUACAUAAGAAUAAUAAUCUUUGUAAUAGUUAUGUCCACCAUUAACAACACUGUACUAAAUAUAAAUUAAAAAACUGCUUAACAAGGAACACAGUGAGGAAUCUUAUGGGGAUGCCUCUCAACCUGAACAAACUAAAUGAGCAACAAACUAAAAAGAAAAGCUUGCAAUAUUUAUUCUUUUUGUCUAUUUACUGAGUUGAUCUAAAAUAAUGUUUUCCUUUACCAGGUCUGCAAUGAACAUGGAUUUGACAAACUAUGCCCGGACCCAACUGGCUGGAUAGACCUCGAACAAUGUGUUGGAUCAGGAGGAUUUGGAGUAAUCCAUAAGGCAUGGCAUUUUAAGGAAAAGAAAGAAGUGGCCAUAAAAGUGAUAAAAGA
Long non-coding RNA from Xenopus laevis (African clawed frog), 435 nucleotides. RefSeq lists it as uncharacterized. NCBI's taxonomy places the organism in Eukaryota, Metazoa, Chordata, Amphibia, Anura, Pipidae. The record is from RefSeq and is a predicted model, not a curated record. The transcript has 3 exons.